GAUGAACGCUGGCGGCGUGCUUAACACAUGCAAGUCGAACGAAGCGACUAUGAUUGAGAUUUCGGUUGAUUGAUUAGUUGACUUAGUGGCGGACGGGUGAGUAACGCGUGGGUAACCUGCCUCGUACAGGGGGAUAACAGUUAGAAAUGACUGCUAAUACCGCAUAACCCGCUAAAGUCGCAUGACUUAGACGGAAAAGAUUUAUCGGUACGAGAUGGACCCGCGUCUGAUUAGCUAGUUGGUGAGGUAACGGCCCACCAAGGCGACGAUCAGUAGCCGGCCUGAGAGGGUGAACGGCCACAUUGGGACUGAGACACGGCCCAAACUCCUACGGGAGGCAGCAGUGGGGAAUAUUGCACAAUGGGGGAAACCCUGAUGCAGCAACGCCGCGUGAGUGAAGAAGUAUUUCGGUAUGUAAAGCUCUAUCAGCAGGGAAGAAAAUGACGGUACCUGACUAAGAAGCCCCGGCUAACUACGUG
Molecule: ribosomal RNA, 479 nt
Filed under: uncultured bacterium
Lineage: Bacteria
Description: bacterial SSU rRNA
Rfam family: Bacterial small subunit ribosomal RNA
Source: RNAcentral